CCAUAUUGGGGCAUGCUCAACAUGCAACUACAGAAAUACAAAGCCAAGAAUUCUAUCAAAUUGUGGACAAAGCUUUAGGAAUAAUCUUAAUUCUAUACUAAAAAUGGCCAAAUCGUGGAGGUAAAGCCUGAUCUCUAUCCUAGAACUGACAUGAGGUACUUAUUAGGAGGGCUAGCUUGAUACUUUAAAGGCUUUUGAAAUUUGUUGAUGGUACCCAUAGCUCACUUACAACAACUGAGAAGCCUCUACUCCAUUCUCUCCUAGGGUUCAUUGACAGUAAAGCAUCAUUACUGUUGUCCCUGACAGCAUGGAGGUGGGCUGGAACUCUCAGCCAUACAGUUGAGGUCUCUGCACAGGAAAUCAUAGGUUCAUAGAGUAGCAAAGGUCUAAACAGAUAGACUAUUUCUUAAAGAUAUGGCCAUAUCUUUCACUAAUACCAACGUUUGGCAACCUUUGAGGAUUUAUAACUGACUUCAGGACCUCCAUCAGCCCUUCUUUAGGGAUUAUUAAUUUUUAAGAGAUGUGCAAAUUCAUGGUUAUUUUCCUUAGUUAUUUUUCUUUCCUCCUAGGGGCCAGUAGGAAACAGUGUGAAAGCCUACUUAAUGAAACAUUCUUGCAAAGGAAAAAAAAAAUUAAACCUGAAUUUAAUCAAGCCUUUAUAUCUUUCAAUUUAUAGCAUAUAUCAGAGACAGAGGAACAUAACCUAAGGAAGUAAUCAGCCAAAUCCAUUCAUCAGGAAACAUGAUCCAUUUUCUCUAGCAAGUCAAUGGCACAACAACAACAAAAAGGCAGCAAGGAUCUUUGUCUGAUAUUCUGAACCCCAGAGUCAUAUGAGAAGAAGAAAAAUGAAUGGAUGAAGGAAUAAGUCUCUUCUUCAACUCAGAUCACAUCAUCAUUCUCUACUCUGUGCUGUGGUCCAGAAGCUGACCUCUAUGGACUAUUUUAACCAGUUUCCCACCACUUUGGCGUCUGUCUGGGCUUCCUGAUGUGAAAUAGGAAGAACAUUCCUUUCUUCAUUUGACAGCUGAAGGAAAUGAAUUAUAGAAUGAAAGAAUUCAGGUGGAAAGAAAAGGAAGUUAACCAAGGAGACUGGGAUUCUGCAGAAGAGGAGUUUAUAGAAACUGAAAACGAGAUUUUAGAAAAUAGUCAAUAAAUUCCAUUUUUGGAAAAUUGAGUUAAAGUAUUAAAGAUUAUUGCAACUAAGUUACAUUCUUAUACACAUUCAGACACAUAAGAAAGAGUAUUGUUGAUUAGAAUCUUUGUGUCUCUGAUUUUCUUCUUAUGCUUUUGUCUCACAAUUAAAUAAAAGGAAGAACUGGGUUUCCCUGAUACUUACCCUCUGCUGCUUGGGAUGAGCUAAUGGUCUCCUAGGAGUUGCAAAGUCUUUACUUGAGAAAACAGUCAAAAAGGUAAUUCUUGCAGCACUAGGUGCUCUAAUGAGA
Molecule: long non-coding RNA, 1442 nt
Filed under: Homo sapiens (human)
Lineage: Eukaryota; Metazoa; Chordata; Mammalia; Primates; Hominidae
Description: HSALNT0377630
Source: RNAcentral